UCCGUAGGUGAACCUGCGGAAGGAUCAUUAGUGAAUUUUGAGUGCUUCUAUAUGAAGGGUCGACCUCCACUUCUAACACUGUGCAUUAACAAAUUUGGUUAGGUUUUUGAGACGCAAGUCUCUAUAAGCCAGCCUUAUUUAUUCAUUACAAACUUCAGUUAAAGAAUGUAACAAACCAAAAACAAAAAAAACUUUCAACAACGGAUCUCUUGGGUCUCGCAUCGAUGAAGAACGCAGCGAAAUGUGAUAAGUAAUGUGAAUUGCAGAAUUCAGUGAAUCAUCGAAUCUUUGAACGCACCUUGCGCUCUCUGGUAUUCCGGAGAGCAUGCCUGUUUGAGUGUCAUGAACUCUUCAACCCACCUAUUUCUUGUAAAUUGUUGUGGUGUUUGGAUUUUGAAUGUCUGCUGGGCUUUUUGGGGAAGCUCAUUCGUAAUGCAUUAGCAUCUCAAAUUCGUUUUUCGGAUUGACUCAGCGUGAUAGACUUUCUUCGCUGAGGACAUUAGUUUUUCUAAUGGGCGAUUUUCGUAAAGUAGAAGCUUCUAAUCAAGUCAACUUUUGAUUUAGACCUCAAAUCAGGUAGGAUUACCCGCUGAACUUAAGCAUAUCAAUAAGCGGAGGA
RNAcentral lists this ribosomal RNA (619 nucleotides) under Slooffia cresolica. RNAcentral describes it as "eukaryotic LSU rRNA". The stretch from base 190 to 343 matches the Rfam family "5.8S ribosomal RNA". The record is from RNAcentral. Lineage: Eukaryota; Fungi; Basidiomycota; Microbotryomycetes; Chrysozymaceae.